Molecule: ribosomal RNA, 253 nt
Filed under: uncultured bacterium
Lineage: Bacteria
Description: partial 16S ribosomal RNA
Rfam family: Bacterial small subunit ribosomal RNA
Source: RNAcentral
UACGAAGGGGGCUAGCGUUGCUCGGAAUUACUGGGCGUAAAGGGCGCGUAGGCGGCACUGUUAGUCAGGCGUGAAAGCCCCGGGCUCAACCUGGGAAUGGCAUUCGAGACUGCAUAGCUAGGAUGCGGAAGAGGGAAGCGGAAUUUCCGGUGUAGCGGUGAAAUGCGUAGAUAUCGGAAGGAACAUCAGUGGCGAAAGCGGCUUCCUGGUCCAGCAUCGACGUUCAGGCACGAAAGCGUGGGGAGCAAACAGG